Molecule: long non-coding RNA, 1081 nt
Organism: Protopterus annectens (West African lungfish)
Lineage: Eukaryota; Metazoa; Chordata; Ceratodontiformes; Protopteridae
Exons: 2
Source: RefSeq, a predicted model, not a curated record
UAGAACAUUAUCGCAAGUACUUUGAUUCAUGUAAACAGUCAGAUUGAUGGCUUGACACUUGGAGAGGUGUCAGUGUUUGGAGUUGCAAACCCACCCCAGAAGGUUUUUGUUAAUGGAGUCUCCAUUUCUGACUUCUCCUUCCGUUUGGACACAAAGGUACUCAGUUUGCCAAAACUGUCUUUGCCAAUUGGAAUGGAGUUCACAAUCACGUGGUCAUGGGGAAACUAAACCCAGCUAAGUGAAACAACAAUGCAAUCCUACCAUGUACACUGCAGCCUUUUCUGCACUUUAUUCAUAAAUGAAGAGAAUGAAAGAAAGUUAACUAUGCUACAUGUUUUAUAAUGCAUCAAUUCUAAUGAAUAAUCCAAGUAAAUAAAAGAACAUAAACUGCACUAAAGUUAAAAUUGAUAAUUUUGUUGAUGAAUCCAUUUGAAAAGGUCUAAAAUGGUGGGUGGUGGUCUGUCUGCUUCUGUUUAAUUACAGACAAAUUUCAUCUUGCAAGGUUACAGAUAACACUGUUAUUCUACCUUAAGUAAUUACCUAAAGGUUUCCUGUUUCUGAGUCAAGUUUCUGUUAAAGUAUGGUUGGAAUGUUGUUCAGUAACUGUGUGGGACAUAGGUUAUUACGCAUUAUCUCCUUUUGAAACCUGUCUUCACAAUUUACAGUUUGAAAGCGAUUCCUGGUAGAAAGCAGUCAUGCAUUUGUCUUCAAAUUAUUGCAUUCAUGUGUUCAUUUUACAGAGGAGUGCAGAGUUGUAACACAGUAGAGUCUGAUAGUUAUGAACCUUGGCUAACAAAUCACCAUGUUUGUACAGUAGUAUAUCCAGUUCUUGCAGAAGUUAAGACAGAAGUGAGAAGACUGACAGAUCUAAUUUUCCUAAUUGUAAUCCAGCUUUGCUUACAGCUCUCUCAUCUUUUCUAAGAGAUCAGUUUAAAAGGUAUUUUACUUCUGUAGUGGUGAGCUUUGAUAACUGAUUUGGUUUAUGUUUUACACUGUUUUGUUUAUUAAUACUGCCACUUAAUUAUGACAAAUCAGAACAUAUUUUGUGGAAUUUUUUCAUAAUAAAAUGUUAUGAUUUUGA